UACGGAGGGUGCAAGCGUUGUCCGGAAUCACUGGGCGUAAAGCGUGCGCAGGCGGUCUGUUAAGACCGAUGUGAAAUCCCCGGGCUUAACCUGGGAACUGCAUUGGUGACUGGCAGGCUUUGAGUGUGGCAGAGGGAGGUAGAAUUCCACGUGUAGCAGUGAAAUGCGUAGAGAUGUGGAGGAAUACCGAUGGCGAAGGCAGCCUCCUGGGCCAACACUGACGCUCAUGCACGAAAGCUAGGGGAGCAAACAGG
This 254-nucleotide ribosomal RNA is filed under the name uncultured bacterium. RNAcentral describes it as "partial 16S ribosomal RNA". It matches the Rfam family "Bacterial small subunit ribosomal RNA", at positions 524 to 776 of the family's 1533-position model. The record is from RNAcentral.